ACAAUACUGAUCAUUAGAAGUGAAACUAUAUCGAAUAGUCCGUCACGAAACUUUUAUUCGCGUUUAGUGAUUAUAAGUUAAGCGUGCGUGUGUUCGGUAGUAUUUGUAACAUGCAAUGUCGAAGUGGAUUCAUCGUGUGCUCGCAGAUCGCCCAUAGAAAGUGAACGUGAGAGACUAUAGUCUGAGAGCUGUCGUGACGUCAUUUUACUGGACAUCGUUUUUAUGUAUUUUUUUGUUUGUUUGAAUUCUGAAUAAAUAUCUACUAUGAGUUUA
This is a long non-coding RNA of Melitaea cinxia (Glanville fritillary), 273 nucleotides long. RefSeq lists it as uncharacterized. The transcript has 2 exons. NCBI's taxonomy places the organism in Eukaryota, Metazoa, Arthropoda, Insecta, Lepidoptera, Nymphalidae. The record is from RefSeq and is a predicted model, not a curated record.